AGGUUCAGCUGCCUCGCUACCCAUUAAUGCCUCAUUUCACUCCAUCAAAAAUGAAGUUGACAUAAACUGGUUUCCAAAUGAUUUCCUCCCCAGUCUGUUGGGGGAAUCCUGAAAUCAGCAUCACCUUCACCACUGGAUUCUGUUGCUUAGUUUGGUUGUUGGAUCUCACUUCCUUAUGCCUUCUGCACCUGAAAGGGAUGAAGCUGUCAGUCUGGGAUGCAGCAGCGACACCAGAUUCACUAAUUUGAAAAGACAGCGCACACUGAAAGCCAAUGCUCUGGAAUGGCACCAGCUUGAAGUCAAUUUUUGU
This is a long non-coding RNA of Lagopus muta (rock ptarmigan), 310 nucleotides long. RefSeq lists it as uncharacterized. Lineage: Eukaryota; Metazoa; Chordata; Aves; Galliformes; Phasianidae. The record is from RefSeq and is a predicted model, not a curated record. The transcript has 3 exons.